UGCAAGUCGAGCGAGAAGUCUCUUCGGAGAUAAGUACAGCGGCGGACGGGUGAGUAACGCGUGAGAAUUUUCCCUUUAGUGAAGAAUACCCUUGAGAAAUCAGGGUUAAUACUGCAUACGUCCCUCCGGGGAGAAAGGUGGCCUCUUUGCUGCCGCUAAAGGAUAAGCUUGCGUACUAUUAGCUAGUUGGUGAGGUAAAGGCUCACCAAGGCGAUGAUGGUUAGCCGGCCUGAGAGGGUGUACGGCCACACUGGAACUUAGACACGGUCCAGACUCCUACGGGAGGCAGCAGUGAGGAAUAUUGCGCAAUGGGCGAAAGCCUGACGCAGCGACGCCGCGUGGAGGAUGAAGGUCUUCGGAUUGUAAACUCCUGUUAAGUGGGAAGAAAGACCUAUUUCUAAUACAGAUAGGGGAUGACGGUACCAUUAGAGAAAGCACCGGCUAACUUCGUGCCAGCAGCCGCGGUAAUACGAGGGGUGCAAGCGUUAUUCGGAAUCAUUGGGCGUAAAGGGUGCGUAGACGGCUUAUUAAGUCAACUGUUAAAUUCUCCGGCCUAACUGGAGGUCAGCGGUAGAAACUAAUAGGCUUGAGAUUGGAAGAGAGAAGUG
This 608-nucleotide ribosomal RNA is filed under the name uncultured bacterium. Its description in RNAcentral is "bacterial SSU rRNA". It matches the Rfam family "Bacterial small subunit ribosomal RNA", at positions 56 to 663 of the family's 1533-position model. The record is from RNAcentral.